GUAACGGCGAGUGAAGCGGCAACAGCUCAAAUUUGAAAUCUGGCUCUUUUAGAGUCCGAGUUGUAAUUUGCAGAGGGCGCUUUGGCUUUGGCAGCGGUCCAAGUUCCUUGGAACAGGACGUCACAGAGGGUGAGAAUCCCGUACGUGGUCGCUGGCUAUUGCCGUGUAAAGCCCCUUCGACGAGUCGAGUUGUUUGGGAAUGCAGCUCUAAAUGGGAGGUACAUUUCUUCUAAAGCUAAAUAUUGGCCAGAGACCGAUAGCGCACAAGUAGAGUGAUCGAAAGAUGAAAAGCACUUUGGAAAGAGAGUCAAACAGCACGUGAAAUUGUUGAAAGGGAAGCGCUUGCAGCCAGACUUGCUUACAGUUGCUCAUCCGGGUUUUUACCCGGUGCACUCUUCUGUAGGCAGGCCAGCAUCAGUUUGGGCGGUAGGAUAAAGGUCUCUGUCACGUACCUCCUUUCGGGGAGGCCUUAUAGGGGAGACGACAUACUACCAGCCUGGACUGAGGUCCGCGCAUCUGCUAGGAUGCUGGCGUAAUGGCUGUAAGCGGCCCGUCUUGAAACACGGACCAAGGAGUCUAACAUCUAUGCGAGUGUUUGGGUGUCAAGCCCGAGCGCGUAAUGAAAGUGAACGGAGGUGGGAACCCGCAAGGGUGCACCAUCGACCGAUCCUGAUGUCUUCGGAAGGAUUUGAGUAAGAGCAUGGCUGUUGGGACCCGAAAGAUGGUGAACUAUGCUUGAAUAGGGUGAAGCCAGAGGAAACUCUGGUGGAGGCUCGCAGCGGUUCUGACGUGCAAAUCGAUCGUCAAAUUUGGGCAUAGGGGCGAAAGACUAAUCGAACAUCUUUUACA
This 849-nucleotide ribosomal RNA is filed under the name Alternaria sp. RNAcentral describes it as "partial large subunit ribosomal RNA". It matches the Rfam family "Eukaryotic large subunit ribosomal RNA", at positions 83 to 952 of the family's 3401-position model. The record is from RNAcentral. Lineage: Eukaryota; Fungi; Ascomycota; Dothideomycetes; Pleosporales; Pleosporaceae.